RNAcentral lists this ribosomal RNA (486 nucleotides) under uncultured Paracoccaceae bacterium. RNAcentral describes it as "bacterial SSU rRNA". It matches the Rfam family "Bacterial small subunit ribosomal RNA", at positions 8 to 515 of the family's 1533-position model. The record is from RNAcentral. Lineage: Bacteria; Pseudomonadati; Pseudomonadota; Alphaproteobacteria; Rhodobacterales; Paracoccaceae.
AGAGUUUGAUCAUGGCUCAGAACGAACGCUGGCGGCAGGCCUAACACAUGCAAGUCGAACGAAGCCUUCGGGCUUAGUAGCGGACGGGUGAGUAACGCGUGGGAACGUGCCCUUUGGUUCGGAAUAGCCCCGGGAAACUGGGAGUAAUACCGGAUAAGCCCUACGGGGGAAAGAUUUAUCGCCAAAGGAUCGGCCCGCGUUGGAUUAGGUAGUUGGUGGGGUAAUGGCCUACCAAGCCGACGAUCCAUAGCUGGUUUGAGAGGAUGAUCAGCCACACUGGGACUGAGACACGGCCCAGACUCCUACGGGAGGCAGCAGUGGGGAAUCUUAGACAAUGGGGGAAACCCUGAUCUAGCCAUGCCGCGUGUAUGAAGAAGGCCUUCGGGUUGUAAAGUACUUUCAGCGGGGAGGAAGGCGAUAAGGUUAAUAACCUUGUCGAUUGACGUUACCCGCAGAAGAAGCACCGGCUAACUCCGUGCCAGCAGC